This 253-nucleotide ribosomal RNA is filed under the name uncultured bacterium. RNAcentral's name for it is "partial 16S ribosomal RNA". It matches the Rfam family "Bacterial small subunit ribosomal RNA", at positions 524 to 776 of the family's 1533-position model. The record is from RNAcentral.
UACAGAGGUCCCAAGCGUUGUUCGGAUUCAUUGGGCGUAAAGGGUGCGUAGGUGGCGUCGUAAGUCGGGUGUGAAAUUUCGGAGCUUAACUCCGAAACUGCAUUCGAUACUGCGGUGCUUGAGGACUGGAGAGGAGACUGGAAUUUACGGUGUAGCAGUGAAAUGCGUAGAGAUCGUAAGGAAGACCAGUGGCGAAGGCGGGUCUCUGGACAGUUCCUGACACUGAGGCACGAAGGCCAGGGGAGCAAACGGG